AACAUACACAUGAUAUGAGACAGUUCAUGCUUGGUCUCUUCAGGUGCUCAUGCUCCCUGAAUCCAGAAAUCAACAACCUGGCACCUUUGUAUUCUUCAAAACUCAUCUCGGUAAUUCUCCUGCUGUUCCCUCCCGAAACUUGCCACCUUCACUCAUCUUACUGUUCAUCUCCUAGCAAGUGAUGAUCAAAGAUUUUUCUUCUUUUUUGCUUUGAAAAAGACACCAGCACUGUAAGAAGUUUAUUCGUACAAAUCACAAGCUGCCAACCCACACAAAAGAGAGAAAAAUGUGAGUUGAAGGAUUACCUUUAGGAGGGAGUGUGCAUUACGAUUGUCACUGUUAUGAAAUUUGAAAUGGUCUCUGUUUUUCAUCAAACAUUUUUUAUGAUCGAACAGUAUUACUGUAUGAAGAUGCGCUGACUAAACCUUUUCCACGACUGAAGAUGUGGUAAUUAAACUUCUCUCAUCCUUCU
RNAcentral lists this long non-coding RNA (472 nucleotides) under Musa acuminata (dwarf banana). RNAcentral's name for it is "long non-coding RNA (MACU_LNC002277)". Lineage: Eukaryota; Viridiplantae; Streptophyta; Magnoliopsida; Zingiberales; Musaceae. The record is from RNAcentral.